AUACUGAGGGUGCAAGCGUUAAUCGGAAUUACUGGGCGUAAAGUGCACGUAGGCGGUUUAUUAAGUCAGAUGUGAAAGCCCUGGGCUUAACCUGGGAACUGCAUUUGAGACUGGUAGGCUAGAGUAUGGUAGAGGAUAGUGGAAUUCCGGGUGUAGCGGUGAAAUGCGUAGAUAUCCGGAGGAACAUCAGUGGCGAAGGCGGCUAUCUGGACCAAUACUGACGCUGAGGUGCGAAAGCGUGGGGAGCAAACAGGAUUAGAAACCCUUGUAGUCC
This 274-nucleotide ribosomal RNA is filed under the name uncultured bacterium. RNAcentral's name for it is "partial 16S ribosomal RNA". It matches the Rfam family "Bacterial small subunit ribosomal RNA", at positions 523 to 796 of the family's 1533-position model. The record is from RNAcentral.